Molecule: long non-coding RNA, 266 nt
Filed under: Elaeis guineensis (African oil palm)
Lineage: Eukaryota; Viridiplantae; Streptophyta; Magnoliopsida; Arecales; Arecaceae
Description: long non-coding RNA (EGUI_LNC028715)
Source: RNAcentral
ACCCCUCGGGGCUUACCUAUUCGGAGAUCGAAUGUUCAUUGAUCAGAAGAUCUUAUCUCCAUCUUGGCCCUUCAGGGCUUACCGAUUCAAAGAUCAAAUUUUUCAUUGAUCAAAAGAUCUCAUCUUCAUUUUGGCCCUUCGGGGCUUACCGAUUCGGAGAUCAGAUUUUUUAUUUUCUUAUACAAUAUACGAUGUGAAAGAAUGAGCUCCUUGAAGCAUUUUUAUUAAUAAUACUUCUUGAGAUUUUUUGAAUUUUAAGUAUGAGG